CAGGAAGGCAGCAGCAGCAGCACUUCAGCCACUAGCACGAAGUCAACCGCAUCAGAGGACAAUAGUGAGAGUGGCUGUGACUUCACUGUGCAUGUGAAGAAAACGUUUGAGGAGAACUGAACAGUUGGAGUUUGACAUUUGCCACCUGUGGAGUAAAAUGGCAAGAAGAGACAGUGGGACACAGGACAAAGCUGAAGGAGAACUGCCGGCUAUUGGACUGUUGAAGUGGGAGAGGACAACAGAGAGAGAAGACUAGCAAGGAAAUACAGGUGCAGCAGUAAUCUCCUGAGAAAUCUUCAGAGGCCCAGUGAGAAGCGUGAACCAUUCCAGGCAUAGCUGACAGCCAGGCAGUGGUUGAGGUCAAAGGUCAAGCUGGUUGGGGCCCAUCAUGAGAUCAGACCUUGGAGCCACAGCAAGGACCAUGAAACUGCCUGCAAAAUAGAGGAGAGGAUCGUCCACAAGAUGGGAGCUGAGGCCAGGAGAGAGGCUUCAGGAGGAUCAGAGAUCAUCUUCAGCACAGCAGACAUCACACAGAGAGCUGUGCUACUGAGCUUCCAGGAGAUUUUAAAUAAAAUGAAAGAUUCAAUAUUGACGCUGAGGAAGACAACUAAGGUGUACGACGUGCUCUGCCUUAAACCUUCAGCAGCGUUGGAACAUGAAAACUCGUGGGAUGAGGGGAGCGUGCCAAGCUCCAUCGACAGCGCAGAAGGAGUUCGAGGAUGACAUCAUAAUUCUGUGAAAGCACAGGAACCAGAAGCUAUGGUGGUGAUGACAGCAGUUUCCUAUGAACAUCACCUAAUGCUGUGCCACUAUACUGUGCAUACGAUGACACUCUGAAGGCUGCUGGGAUCAUAACAGCAGUAAGACAACUGAACCCUGCACCCUUUCCACAGAGGUGUUUCUCUGCAGAGCGUGGACAAUGAAGGAGUCAUAAAUAUCCCCCUCGCAGGAUGAAGGCCUGAAGUGAGGUAAUGGGAGGCCAUAAAACUAGAGUGCUGAGAGGUCUGCAGCUUUGGAAAUAGCUGAGACCCAUGUUGACAAACAACAAAACUAACUGGUAUGUUUGAAUGUUUAUUCUACAUACAUUUGGACUCUGGUCCUAUGGACAACGAAACAACUAGAAGAGACAUUCAUGACGCCCUGCAGAACUCAAACCACUCUGCAGAGAGACAUGUGAUUUGCACACCCGGAGGAAGCAUCACCAAGCUGAGAUGUUUUUGAAAAUGUUACUUUCUUAGUUUCACUAUUAAAUUAACAAUUUCUUUGGUUGCUCGUAAGAUGCAGUUUGCCAUGAGAUGAGCUCAAUGAAUGGGGUAACUGCUAAUACAUUUAUUAAACUGUGUAACUUUUACAGUAAUUUAGGGUGAUUUGACAUAUGCUGAGUAAAAAAAUGUUUGCAUUGAAACUGUCAGACAUGAGGUAUUCAUAACUGGGAACUUUCUAGCAUAAAGGUCAAAAACGGGGGAAUGUUAGAGUUUGUAUUGUUGAUUGUCAUUUAUGCUUAGAAAUAUUUAACCAUAGAUGCUUAGAGGUGUAUAAUCAAUUGUGUAGUGAUAAGUUGUGUGAUCUUUAACAGGCUACAGAGGCUUGGUGUGCAUUCCACACUAGAAUGCACACCUACAUCCUGGGAGCACGGGAAGAGGUCGCAUCUUGUCUUAAUUGUUUUAUGGUAGGAUUAACGUAGCUACGUCUGUUCUAGUCUAAGUGCUUUUCUGUUUAGAUGAACUGCUGGACUUCCUCACCGGGGGGGGUCUAGUCUACCCUCCUCCUGACCAAGGAUGUUUGACCCUUUGAUCAGCACACACACACACACACACACACACACACACACACACACACACACACACACACGGUACUCUUUGUUUGUAUGUAGACGUCGGUAUGUUAAUGAACCUAUGCAUAUUCAUGUAACCUCAAUAAAAGGACAGUGUUACGGGAGGACGGACGAGAGUCUGACAGUGGUCAAGUGGUGGAACGACGCUUGGCUCCAGCCAGGUCUCCCUCAUGCAUGAGUAAACCAGAGAACUUUGGUGCCUUGAGUCUUGCUUUUGCUGCGUAGCAGAUUGUCCUUAACGUUCCAGCGAAUAGGUUUAUGUUACAAACCUAUCAGUCACAUUACAGCCACAAACAUGAAUCAAUUUUAUUGGAAUUCCACAUGAAAGACCAAUACAAAGUGGUGUACACGUGAGAAG
Molecule: long non-coding RNA, 2192 nt
Organism: Astatotilapia calliptera (eastern happy)
Lineage: Eukaryota; Metazoa; Chordata; Actinopteri; Cichliformes; Cichlidae
Source: Ensembl